This 496-nucleotide ribosomal RNA is filed under the name uncultured bacterium. RNAcentral describes it as "partial 16S ribosomal RNA". It matches the Rfam family "Bacterial small subunit ribosomal RNA", at positions 28 to 506 of the family's 1533-position model. The record is from RNAcentral.
GAUGAACGCUGGCGGCGUGCCUAAUACAUGCAAGUCGAGCGAACAGAUAAGGAGCUUGCUCCUUUGACGUUAGCGGCGGACGGGUGAGUAACACGUGGGUAACCUACCUAUAAGACUGGAAUAACUCCGGGAAACCGGGGCUAAUGCCGGAUAACAUUUAGAACCGCAUGGUUCUAAAGUGAAAGAUGGUUUUGCUAUCACUUAUAGAUGGACCCGCGCCGUAUUAGCUAGUUGGUAAGGUAACGGCUUACCAAGGCAACGAUACGUAGCCGACCUGAGAGGGUGAUCGGCCACACUGGAACUGAGACACGGUCCAGACUCCUACGGGAGGCAGCAGUAGGGAAUCUUCCGCAAUGGGCGAAAGCCUGACGGAGCAACGCCGCGUGAGUGAUGAAGGUCUUCGGAUCGUAAAACUCUGUUAUUAGGGAAGAACAAAUGUGUAAGUAACGGUGCACGUCUUGACGGUACCUAAGCAGAAAGCCACGGCUAACUACGU